Molecule: ribosomal RNA, 481 nt
Filed under: Durinskia baltica
Lineage: Eukaryota; Dinophyceae; Peridiniales; Kryptoperidiniaceae
Description: partial Bacterial small subunit ribosomal RNA
Rfam family: Bacterial small subunit ribosomal RNA
Source: RNAcentral
GGCCCGCACAAGCGGUGGAGCAUGUGGUUUAAUUCGACGCAACGCGAAGAACCUUACCUGGGUUUGACAUGCACCAGACAUCCCUAGAGAUAGGGCUUCCCUUGUGGUUGGUGUGCAGGUGGUGCAUGGCUGUCGUCAGCUCGUGUCGUGAGAUGUUGGGUUAAGUCCCGCAACGAGCGCAACCCUUGUUCCAUGUUGCCAGCACGUAAUGGUGGGGACUCAUGGGAGACUGCCGGGGUCAACUCGGAGGAAGGUGGGGAUGACGUCAAGUCAUCAUGCCCCUUAUGUCCAGGGCUUCACACAUGCUACAAUGGCUCAUACAGAGGGCUGCGAGACCGUGAGGUGGAGCGAAUCCCUUAAAGUGAGUCUCAGUUCGGAUCGGGGUCUGCAACUCGACCCCGUGAAGUUGGAGUCGCUAGUAAUCGCAGAUCAGCAACGCUGCGGUGAAUACGUUCCCGGGCCUUGUACACACCGCCCGUCA